GUGGGGAAUAUUGGACAAUGGGCGAAAGCCUGAUCCAGCCAUGCCGCGUGAGUGAUGAAGGCCUUAGGGUUGUAAAGCUCUUUCAGUAGGGAAGAUAAUGACGGUACCUACAGAAGAAGCCCCGGCUAACUUCGUGCCAGCAGCCGCGGUAAUACGAAGGGGGCUAGCGUUGUUCGGAUUUACUGGGCGUAAAGCGCACGUAGGCGGAUUGGUCAGUUAGAGGUGAAAUCCUGGAGCUCAACUCCAGAACUGCCUUUAAUACUGCCAGUCUAGAGUCCAGAAGAGGUGAGUGGAACUCCUAGUGUAGAGGUGGAAUUCGUAGAUAUUAGGAAGAACACCAGUGGCGAAGGCGGCUCACUGGUCUGGUACUGACGCUGAGGUACGAAAGCGUGGGGAGCAAACAGGAUUAGAUACCCCUGUAGUCC
Molecule: ribosomal RNA, 425 nt
Filed under: uncultured bacterium
Lineage: Bacteria
Description: partial 16S ribosomal RNA
Rfam family: Bacterial small subunit ribosomal RNA
Source: RNAcentral